AGCUGCUAUGGCCACCGUGGAAUCUGGAAUCUGGCAGAAAGUUCUACUGCCAGGCUCACAUCAUUUUUAUUGGCCAGAGCCCAGUCACAUGACCCCAACUUAACUGCAAGGGAUGCUGGGCAAUAUAGUCCAGUAGUGUGGCUAGCAGGAAAAUUAAAGGGGUUUGGUGAAUCCAUUGCUCCUGCCAUCACCCAGAUUAAAGACCUGCCCUCUCAUCCGCAGUCAGGGAUUGAGUGGGCAAGCACUGUGGGCUGCAGACACCAAGCUCCACCAUGAUUCCCCCUCCACUCUCAGAGGCUCCAUCCAGCUGGCAGGCUCACAGCACUGCAGCCCAGCAUCUGAAGUGGUACUGUCCCUAGGCUGAUGACUGUCACAUUUUUAGUGGGGCCAAAACUUUCCUCCAAGAUUCAGAUGUGUGUCACCAACUAGAGAGCAGGCUUGGAAUUUAAAAAUAAAGUUUUCAGUAAGUUGA
This 472-nucleotide long non-coding RNA is filed under the name Homo sapiens (human). Its description in RNAcentral is "HSALNT0371234". Lineage: Eukaryota; Metazoa; Chordata; Mammalia; Primates; Hominidae. The record is from RNAcentral.